UACGUAGGUCCCGAGCGUUGUCCGGAUUUAUUGGGCGUAAAGCGAGCGCAGGUGGUUUAUUAAGUCUGGUGUAAAAGGCAGUGGCUCAACCAUUGUAUGCAUUGGAAACUGGUAGACUUGUGUGCAGGAGAGGAGAGUGGAAUUCCAUGUGUAGCGGUGAAAUGCGUAGAUAUAUGGAGGAACACCGGUGGCGAAAGCGGCUCUCUGGCCUGUUACUGACACUGAGGCUCGAAAGCGUGGGGAGCAAACAGG
Molecule: ribosomal RNA, 252 nt
Filed under: uncultured bacterium
Lineage: Bacteria
Description: partial 16S ribosomal RNA
Rfam family: Bacterial small subunit ribosomal RNA
Source: RNAcentral